This 341-nucleotide long non-coding RNA is filed under the name Homo sapiens (human). RNAcentral describes it as "HSALNT0300485". The record is from RNAcentral. Lineage: Eukaryota; Metazoa; Chordata; Mammalia; Primates; Hominidae.
GGCUGUGCCCCUGAGCUGAGCUGGGAAGGUCCACAGAAAACAUCCUGGGGUCCUGAGCUGAAGUGUGAUGGGAGGAGUCCUCUGUAUCUCAGUCUGAUCCUGGUCUCCCUCUCGGCCAUGGUCUCACACUAGUGCUGCUGGGAAACCAUCCCUCACAUCCAGUCCUGGCAUCGGGCAGUGACUCUGGUCCAACUGUUGUCCAACUCAAGGGUUUAGCUGCUUAGAUUUUCCUAAAACUUGAAUUUCAUUUUCCUCUAGCCAUGGAAUACAGAUUAAUCCUUUACAAUUAAAAUCCAAGUUCAGAUUUUAUUUGUUGUGGUUUUUAAUUAAAAUCUCACCAG